Molecule: ribosomal RNA, 372 nt
Filed under: uncultured organism
Description: bacterial SSU rRNA
Rfam family: Bacterial small subunit ribosomal RNA
Source: RNAcentral
CGUAGGAGGUAAGCGUUAUCCGGAUUCACUGGGCGUAAAGCGCGUGCAGGUGGUGCGGUAAGUUAGGCGUGAAAUCUCCCGGCUCAACUGGGAGAGGUCGUCUAAUACUACCGUACUUGAGAGCAGAAGAGGAAGAUGGAAUUCCCGGUGUAGUGGUGAAAUGCGUAGAUAUCGGGAGGAACACCAGUGGCGAAGGCGAUCUUCUGGUCUGUUUCUGACACUCAGACGCGACAGCUAGGGUAGUAAACGGGAUUAGAGACCCCGGUAAUCCUAGCCGUAAACGAUGUGAACUUGGCGUUGGUGGGUUAAACUCCAUCAGUGCCGAAGCAAACGCGAUAAGUUCACCGCCUGGGGACUACGGCCGCAAGGUUA